GACGAACGCUGGCGGCGUGCUUAACACAUGCAAGUCGAGCGGUAAGGCCCUUUCGGGGGUACACGAGCGGCGAACGGGUGAGUAACACGUGGGUGACCUGCCCUCAGCUCUGGGAUAAGCCUGGGAAACCGGGUCUAAUACUGGAUAUGACUCCAUGACGCAUGUUGUGGGGUGGAAAGCCUUGUGCGGCUGAGGAUGGGCCCGCGGCCUAUCAGCUUGUUGGGGGGUGAUGGCCUACCAAGGCGACGACGGGUAGCCGGCCUGAGAGGGCGACCGGCCACACUGGGACUGAGACACGGCCCAGACUCCUACGGGAGGCAGCAGUGGGGAAUCUUGCGCAAUGGGCGAAAGCCUGACGCAGCGACGCCGCGUGAGGGAUGACGGCCUGGU
RNAcentral lists this ribosomal RNA (390 nucleotides) under uncultured bacterium. RNAcentral describes it as "bacterial SSU rRNA". It matches the Rfam family "Bacterial small subunit ribosomal RNA", at positions 28 to 420 of the family's 1533-position model. The record is from RNAcentral.